CGCCACUGUGCUGUUGCGUCUUGCGCAGCGCAGACACCUCCACUCUGGAUUGAAACGAAAAAGCUCGCGAUCCAACUUAGAAAUAAUGUUUCAUUCAAGAUAAUGCUCGUGGUUUAGGAGGUUGUGACCUGGCUUGCGUCAUUUUAAGACUUCUAUCAUCUGUUUUCAAAACCCAAGGAGGACCUCAUUUUCUGUGUGAUAGUUCCUCAUGCUUUGCCAGCCACUGGGUCUUUAAGGAAGCUUGCCAAGAGUUCCCGGCUGGGAAGGACAGUUCGAGUUCAUCAUAGACAAUGAGCUGGCACCACAUUUUAAGUGACUCACCAACCUGGUUGCCCACUUCAAAAUGUCAAGAACCAUACUAUCUAACUGAAAGAACUGUGUUUUAGCAAAGCGUAAUUGGAUCUCCUGGCAGGAUCAUCUCAAACUGUGUCUCCGACCUUGCCUUUCAGUGGCUGUUUUGAGCACAAGAGGAGAAAGGAAAUGAUUCCUGAAUUAUUUCUUGUUUUUAAAAAUUAAGAUUAAUUAAUACUUGGUUUUAUGUUCAUUCCAUUGUAGGAACUUAAUGAUUAUUACAAAACAGUCAAAAUAGGUCAUAGCAAAAUGAACAUUUAAGAUUAGGUUAAAACAUUCCUCUGAAAUUUUAGUAUUCACUUUUGAAGUGUCAAUUACUAUAUUUUUGUAAUUUCUCAUUUUUUUCUUGGCUUAGAGUCAAGAUGAAAAAUGAUAUUUGAAUCAAAGACAUUGUUUUGUUAUAUAGCCACUCUGUAAAAUGCAAAUCCACCCUCCCCUCACCAAUGCUUCACUAUUUGUGCACACACACACACACAGACAUACACAGAACCAGCACCCAAAUGGUAGAGGAGGUCCUUUUGAGACUUCUAGGACCUGGAUCAUGUAAGCAGUAGAUGAGAAAAUGAAGUAAGAGGUAUAGAGCAAUAACAAUAAAAGUCAAUGAUUUCAUUUUACAAAAAAGUUAUUAUGUAGUACUCAGAUAUUUUUAAAAGCCAGUAUUAUUAUGACUAAAGUAUAUUAUACUUCUAAAUUAUUAUGAUUCUCAUCUAAUUUCAAGCCACACAUAGGAGCCAUUUGAAAGCAUUUUGUAUUACAACCUAUCAACAAAAAUCAACUAAUAGUUUUAUAAUGUGCAUAGGUUUACCCCAUGGGGAAUUAAAAUUUUUAUCUGCAAGUA
This is a long non-coding RNA of Symphalangus syndactylus (siamang), 1189 nucleotides long. RefSeq lists it as uncharacterized. The record is from RefSeq and is a predicted model, not a curated record. Lineage: Eukaryota; Metazoa; Chordata; Mammalia; Primates; Hylobatidae.